RNAcentral lists this ribosomal RNA (465 nucleotides) under Vreelandella stevensii. RNAcentral describes it as "partial 16S ribosomal RNA". It matches the Rfam family "Bacterial small subunit ribosomal RNA", at positions 338 to 795 of the family's 1533-position model. Lineage: Bacteria; Pseudomonadati; Pseudomonadota; Gammaproteobacteria; Oceanospirillales; Halomonadaceae. The record is from RNAcentral.
CCUACGGGGUGCAGCAGUGGGGAAUAUUGGACAAUGGGCGAAAGCCUGAUCCAGCCAUGCCGCGUGUGUGAAGAAGGCCUUCGGGUUGUAAAGUACUUUCAGUGGGGAAGAAAGCCUUGGGGCUAAUACCCUCGAGGAAGGACAUCACCCACAGAAGAAGCACCGGCUAACUCCGUGCCAGCAGCCGCGGUAAUACGGAGGGUGCGAGCGUUAAUCGGAAUUACUGGGCGUAAAGCGCGCGUAGGCGGUCUGAUAAGCCGGUUGUGAAAGCCCCGGGCUCAACCUGGGAACGGCAUCCGGAACUGUCAGGCUAGAGUGCAGGAGAGGAAGGUAGAAUUCCCGGUGUAGCGGUGAAAUGCGUAGAGAUCGGGAGGAAUACCAGUGGCGAAGGCGGCCUUCUGGACUGACACUGACGCUGAGGUGCGAAAGCGUGGGUAGCAAACAGGAUUAGAUACCCUUGUAGUC